Long non-coding RNA from Oncorhynchus tshawytscha (Chinook salmon), 481 nucleotides. The record is from Ensembl. Lineage: Eukaryota; Metazoa; Chordata; Actinopteri; Salmoniformes; Salmonidae.
CCCAGGUCAACCUACCAGCCUCCCAGUCUGCUCCAGCCCAGGUCAAUCUACCUGUCUCACAGUCUGCUCCAGCCCAGGUCAGAAUACCAGCUUCCCAGUCUGCUCCAGCCCAGGUCAAUCUACCAGUCUCCCAGUCUGCUCCAGCCCAGGUCAGAAUACCAGCCUCCCAGUCUGCUCCAGCCCAGAUCAGAUCAGGAUACCAGCCUCCCAGUCUGCUCCAGCCCAGGUCAAUCUACCAGUCUCCCAGUCUGCUCCAGCCCAGGUCAGAAUACCAGCCUCCCAGUCUGCUCCAGUCCAGGUCAGAAUACCAGCUUCCCAGUCUGCUCCAGCCCAUGUCAAUCUACCAGUCUCCCAGUCUGCUCCAGCCCAGGUCAGAAUACCAGCCUCCCAGUCUGCUCCAGCCCAGGUCAGAAUACCAGCCUCCCAGUCUACUCCACCCAGACAAUCACCCACAACUGCAAUCCUUAUUAAUUCAAAUGGG